CAUAAAUUCAUAUCUCUCUCUCUCUCUCCAUUCUGCAAAAAACAAUGGCUACCACCUCCACUGAAAUAACCCAAGAUUUUCCAGGCUUUUUCAAGGUAUACAAAGAUGGUAGCAUUGAAAGAUACUGGAAUUCAGAUUUUUCUUCUCCAGGAUUAGACCCUGAAACUGGAAUCCAAUCCAAAGAUGUUGUAAUCUCAGACAAAACUGGCGUAAAAGCUCGCAUCUUCCUCCCAAAACUUCACGAUUCAUCCC
Molecule: unclassified non-coding RNA, 252 nt
Filed under: Hevea brasiliensis (rubber tree)
Lineage: Eukaryota; Viridiplantae; Streptophyta; Magnoliopsida; Malpighiales; Euphorbiaceae
Source: RNAcentral